This 250-nucleotide ribosomal RNA is filed under the name uncultured prokaryote. Its description in RNAcentral is "partial 16S ribosomal RNA". It matches the Rfam family "Bacterial small subunit ribosomal RNA", at positions 524 to 773 of the family's 1533-position model. The record is from RNAcentral.
GACGGAGGAGGCAAGCGUUAUCCGGAAUUAUUGGGCGUAAAGCGUCCGCAGGUGGCAUUACAAGUCUGUUGUUAAAGCCCAGGGCUCAACUCUGGAUCAGCGAUGGAAACUGUAGUGCUAGAGUACGGUAGGGGUAGAGGGAAUUCCCAGUGUAGCGGUGAAAUGCGUAGAUAUUGGGAAGAACACCAGUGGCGAAGGCGCUCUGCUGGGCCGUAACUGACACUCAUGGACGAAAGCUAGGGGAGCGAAA